Molecule: transfer RNA, 76 nt
Filed under: Parazoarcus communis
Lineage: Bacteria; Pseudomonadati; Pseudomonadota; Betaproteobacteria; Rhodocyclales; Zoogloeaceae
Also listed under: 38 other names
Description: Azoarcus communis tRNA-Lys
Rfam family: tRNA
About the family: Transfer RNA (tRNA) molecules are approximately 80 nucleotides in length. Their secondary structure includes four short double-helical elements and three loops (D, anti-codon, and T loops). Further hydrogen bonds mediate the characteristic L-shaped molecular structure. tRNAs have two regions of fundamental functional importance: the anti-codon, which is responsible for specific mRNA codon recognition, and the 3' end, to which the tRNAs corresponding amino acid is attached (by aminoacyl-tRNA synthetases). tRNAs cope with the degeneracy of the genetic code in two manners: having more than one tRNA (with a specific anti-codon) for a particular amino acid; and 'wobble' base-pairing, i.e. permitting non-standard base-pairing at the 3rd anti-codon position.
Source: RNAcentral
GGGGGUAUAGCUCAGUUGGUAGAGCAGUUGACUCUUAAUCAAUUGGUCCUAGGUUCGAGUCCUAGUGCCCCCACCA